This is a non-coding RNA of Cricetulus griseus (Chinese hamster), 2146 nucleotides long. Lineage: Eukaryota; Metazoa; Chordata; Mammalia; Rodentia; Cricetidae. The record is from RefSeq and is a predicted model, not a curated record.
UCUGCUUCUUCCAUCAGCAACUGGAUGAAGGCUCUAGGAUGGCAAACAAGGUUUGGACAUCAUACAUGUUUGAAACAUGUUGAAACACAUGUUUCAAGUUUAAAAAAAAAAGCAUGAAGGAACAGUGAUGACAUACAGUAUUGGGAAAAUAAGGCCACUAUGACUGAACCAAAGAAACUGAGAAUGAAAACUUGUAUGAACCUGAAAAACCAAGAUUCCAGGAAAUGCCAUGAUCUUCUGCACGAUGGUCAUCCUUACAUGUACCAAAUGACUGCUGCAGUUUUUAUUAUGCUGUUCAUUGCUUCAUUUCUAAACAAGACUAUCAACAGCACCAGAAAGCAAGAUGGCAGGAAGAAGAUUGCCUUGGAAAAUCUUCAUGUGCUCUGAGCUCACUGCGAGACUGGCAAUGAAAGUGCAACAACUCGCCAAUGCAUCACUGCACCAAGCUCAAGUGUGUUUCUGUCAAGUGUCUUCCAAGACCCUUUUGGGGUGUGCUAGACUCUUACAUGUUACAGAGAGAGAAGAAAACUGCAAACAACCCAGCAGUAAAAGUAUUGUGCCUUAGUGUAUGGAAUAGUGUAUUUUUCCAACAGAAGUUGCUAUUGUGUAUCCCUUAGUAUAAACGUGCAUUCAAUGGGAAAGGGCAGCCAGGAAUUUAAAUAAGGGAAGCUGUCCAUGGAGAAAGUUCAAUUGGAAACUACAGCUGGAUGACUCAGUUUCCCCAGUUAGCUUUUGCUGGAGACUGUAAGCACUUGGUUUGAUGAUGUUAUCUCUAUGUGUUGCUGUUUGCUCCUUUACUUUAAAGACUCAUCAGCGGGGAUACAUUGCUCUGCCAUAAUGUCUUAAAGGACCUUACCCACUCUAUUUCUAGCAGUUGUUUUGAACACCUAAUUUGAGAUCUUCUUCUUCUUCUUCUUCUUCUUCUUCUUCUUCUUCUUCUUCUUCUUCUUCUUCUUCUUCUUCUUCUUCUCCUUCCUCUUCACUUCUUCUUUACUAUCAUAUGUUAUUUCUUUACUUUGGGUUGAUAUAUAUUUAAUAAGAUCAUUCAUUCACAACAAAAUAAUAUUGUUAUGGAUGAUUUCUCAGGACUCUGUAGAAAGAAAGUGAGAGGGUAGGAGAAAGGACAGAGCUGUAAGUAUGGAAUAGAAGAGAUUUUCUGCCAGGGAAAACUAAUUCUGAAGGUGUCCAGAGAAUGGUCCUUCUUCACUUCCCAUUGACUAUAAUGUGACAUUCCAUUGUAAUCAUUUUGUACAUUAACUUAGCAGCCUGGGUGGAUUUCAUUGGUAUAUGUAUGUUCACAAACUGAAUGGGUGUUUCUGUAAAAGUUUAUGAAUGAGAUUAAUAUUUAACUUAUUGGAGCUGCGAAUCCAUUGUGUGUCUGGAUAGAACAGAAGGAAAAGAAAGGCAAACUUCCCCUCUCUUUCUUUCUGAACUUAUAAGUUGCUACAUUGACUGUUUGAUAGGUCAAGACUUAGAUAUCCCAGGCUGUCCUUAUACUCUACAUGUGUUCUAGGAUUGCCUGAAACUCAUAGCAAUGCUCCUUCAGUCACCCAAGCUCUAAUCUCAGAAGCCUACACCUCAGCAUCCAACUUCUUCCUCACAUUUCUCUCUUUACAUGCAAUGGAUCUCAGGUAAGUACAACACAAGUAUUUAGGGACAAGUGUAUAUUUCAUCUAUGACCUUUAAGGCUCUGUGUCUUUAGCAUGUUCUACCACAGGUCUUUUGCUUGACCUCAAUUGCUUCCUGAUUGUCUUUCUUGUGUUUGUAGUUUAUAUAACCAUGACAUGGAAUUUGCAUCUUACAUACUAAUGCAUAUGUAUUUCUCCUCAAUCUUUUAACUCUGUCUCUCCAUCUUCUCUUUGUUUCACUAGUACUACAUGAGAAGAACCAAGCCGAACAAUCCCAGUAGGAGUUUAGAACAUCCAGCAUUGCCAUUCUUUUUUUUUCCAGGAACUCCAAUCAGAGAUAAAUGACAUUGCAUUAUGUGCAGAAACUAAAAUACAAGACAAUGGUGAUUUUACCCAGGGUACACACUUUUUACCCCUCUUUCUAACCCCCAUGACAAGACACAGAGCCUUAAAGGUCAUAGAUGAAAUAUACACUUUGUCCCUAAAUACGUGUGUUGUACUUACCUGAGAUCCAUUGC